GACGAACGCUGGCGGCGUGCUUAACACAUGCCAGUCGAACGGAAAGGCCCUGCUUUUGUUGGGUGCUCGAGUGGCGAACGGGUGAGUAACCCGUGAGUAACCUGCCCUUGACUUUGGGAUAACUUCAGGAAACUGGGGCUAAUACCGGAUAGGAGCUCCUGCUGCAUGGUGGGGGUUGGAAAGUUUGGGCGGUUGGGGAUGGACUCGCGGCUUAUCAGCUUGUUGGUGGGGUAGUGGCUUACCAAGGCUUUGACGGGUAGCCGGCCUGAGAGGGUGACCGGCCACAUUGGGACUGAGAUACGGCCCAGACUCCUACGGGAGGCAGCAGUGGGGAAUAUUGCACAAUGGGCGGAAGCCUGAUGCAGCAACGCCGCGUGCGGGAUGACGGCCUUCGGGUUGUAAACCGCUUUCGCCUGUGACGAAGCGUGAGUGACGGUAAUGGGUAAAGAAGCACCGGCUAACUACGUG
Molecule: ribosomal RNA, 468 nt
Filed under: uncultured bacterium
Lineage: Bacteria
Description: partial 16S ribosomal RNA
Rfam family: Bacterial small subunit ribosomal RNA
Source: RNAcentral